CCUACGGGAGGCAGCAGUGGGGAAUAUUGGACAAUGGGCGAAAGCCUGAUCCAGCAAUGCCGCGUGUGUGAAGAAGGCCUUCGGGUUGUAAAGCACUUUCAGUGGGGAAGAAAGCCUUGGGGCUAAUACCCUCGAGGAAGGACAUCACCCACAGAAGAAGCACCGGCUAACUACGUGCCAGCAGCCGCGGUAAUACGGAGGGUGCGAGCGUUAAUCGGAAUUACUGGGCGUAAAGCGCGCGUAGGCGGUCUGAUAAGCCGGUUGUGAAAGCCCCGGGCUCAACCUGGGAACGGCAUCCGGAACUGUCAGGCUAGAGUGCAGUAGAGGAAGGUAGAAUUCCCGGUGUAGCGGUGAAAUGCGUAGAGAUCGGGAGGAAUACCAGUGGCGAAGGCGGCCUUCUGGACUGUCACUGACGCUGAGGUGCGAAAGCGUGGGUAGCAAACAGGAUUAGAUACCCGAGUAGUC
Molecule: ribosomal RNA, 465 nt
Filed under: Vreelandella stevensii
Lineage: Bacteria; Pseudomonadati; Pseudomonadota; Gammaproteobacteria; Oceanospirillales; Halomonadaceae
Description: partial 16S ribosomal RNA
Rfam family: Bacterial small subunit ribosomal RNA
Source: RNAcentral